CAGGAUGAACGCUAGCGACAGGCCUAACACAUGCAAGUCGAGGGGCAGCACAAGGAGCAAUCUGAGGUGGCGACCGGCGCACGGGUGAGUAACACGUAUGCAACCUGCCUGUAAGCGGGGAAUAACCCGUUGAAAGACGGACUAAUACCGCAUAAUACUAAAUUACUGCAUGGUAAUUUAUUUAAACAUUUAUGGCUUACAGAUGGGCAUGCGCAUGAUUAGCUAGUUGGAGAGGUAACGGCUCCCCAAGGCAACGAUCAUUAGGGGUUCUGAGAGGAAGGUCCCCCACACUGGUACUGAGACACGGACCAGACUCCUACGGGAGGCAGCAGUGAGGAAUAUUGGUCAAUGGACGAGAGUCUGAACCAGCCAAGUCGCGUGCAGGAAGAAUGUUCCCUAUGGAUUGUAAACUGCUUUUGCAGGGGAAUAAAGUGCAUCACGUGUGAUGUUUUGUAUGUACUCUGCGAAUAAGGAUCGGCUAACUCCGUGCCAGCCGCCGC
RNAcentral lists this ribosomal RNA (500 nucleotides) under uncultured bacterium. RNAcentral's name for it is "bacterial SSU rRNA". It matches the Rfam family "Bacterial small subunit ribosomal RNA", at positions 25 to 518 of the family's 1533-position model. The record is from RNAcentral.